GGGCAAGUCUGGUGCCAGCACCCGCGGUAAUUCCGGCUCUAGUAGCGUAUAUUAAAGUUGUUGCAGUUAAAAAGCUCGUAGUCUGACUUCGGGCUGGGCUGUGAAGGCUCACCGCAAGGUGGGACGGAUAGCCUGGCCUUACCCUCUGAUGUGCUCUCUGCUCUUAACUGAGUGGAUCUGUCGCACAGAGGCGUUUACCUUGAGCAAAUUGAGGUGUUCAAGGCAGGCAUAAUCGCUCGUACACGUUAGCAUGGGAUAAUGAAAUAGGGCCUUGGGUUCGCUGUUGCCGGUUGGUGAGCCCGGGCAAUGAUCAACAGGGGCGGUCGGGGUGCUUCAUAUGCAGGCGCUAGAGGUGAAAUUCUUGGACCGUCUGCAGAUGCCCAGAUGCGAAAGUGUUGCACCAGUACGUCCCCAUUGAUCAAGAACGAAAGUUAAGGGAGCGGAGACGAUCAGAUACCGUCGUAGUCUUAACCCUAAACGAUACCGACCAGGGAUCGAGGAUAGUCCCAUGGUUGACUCCUUCGGCGCCUUACGGGAAAC
Molecule: ribosomal RNA, 540 nt
Filed under: uncultured eukaryote
Lineage: Eukaryota
Description: bacterial SSU rRNA
Rfam family: Eukaryotic small subunit ribosomal RNA
Source: RNAcentral